Molecule: ribosomal RNA, 238 nt
Filed under: uncultured bacterium
Lineage: Bacteria
Description: partial 16S ribosomal RNA
Rfam family: Bacterial small subunit ribosomal RNA
Source: RNAcentral
UGGCGGACGGGUGAGUAGCGCGUGGGUAACCUGCCUCAUACAGGGGGAUAACAGUUAGAAAUGACUGCUAAUACCGCAUAAGACCACAGUACCGCAUGGUACAGGGGUAAAAACUCCGGUGGUAUGAGAUGGACCCGCGUCUGAUUAGGUAGUUGGUGGGGUAACGGCCUACCAAGCCGACGAUCAGUAGCCGACCUGAGAGGGUGACCGGCCACAUUGGGACUGAGACACGGCCCAA